CGCGACGCGACGCGACGCGACGCCAAUCCGACGACCGUUCACGAUGACGAGAGUUUCGCGUUGACGCGUCACGCCAAUCGAAUCGAACGUAAAUUAACCCCUGUGCUCCGGCUACGACAUCGCGACAGUGUCGAUAUCCGAUCACUACCGGAAACCUAGACUUCCCGUUGCUGUGAUUUUCGCCACGCACACCGAUUUCGUGACUCGUAACGCAUGCGUGUUCUUUCCUUUACAUGCCGCGUGACGGCGACCACGGUUUCGCAGUUGUUCCGCAUUUUGGUUUUGGUUCAUCGACCUUUCCGCGCACCGUCCCAGACGCUGGGACGAUGGUACGUCCUUGACGAAUGAAAUUUUCUCCUCGACGAUCUCGGAAACUUAUCUUUCCCUGGCCAUUGCCACCGGGGCUCCUUCUCCUUCCCUGUCUCGUGCCGCUUUGAUCGCCCCGUUCUCUCGCCACCCCUGUCGCAUGCAACGCGUGCUGGUCAUUACGUAACAGUUACCACAUUGUAUCCUCUGGGACGACGCGUCCUCAUUACCGUACGAUUCCUUUCGUCUUCCUUCCGGUCUCGCGUUCUUCCGCCGACAGCUUGCGAAGCAACGUGUUUUAACGAGCAAAGGAGAACCUCGUAGAUAUCAUUCAUUCUACGGUUUUCUUCUUCGAUCCAGCGGUUUUAGGUGAACGUUCCACUGGUCGCGACACCGCGACCGACCUUUUGACUCCGCUGCCCUCCCACUAUUCCCACGUGCCAACGAACUUUCGACAAAAAGUAAUCGCCGACCUCCUAGUGGUGGAAGUCGUAGGAAGAUCGAGUCAAUUGUCCAAAGUUAUCUCGUAACGAUUCUGUGCCAAAUGAACGGGCAAACGAAGGGAUCUACGAUACCGGAAUGCAAGAUCGUGCAAAGGAUCGAGAAGCUGACUACCGUGAGUACAAUUUCGGUUCGAUGCUCCAUUUUCUACGAAUCCGACUCCGUUUCAAACUUUUUAGUUUUCUUUAACCGAUCGUGUAAACCUACAUCUCGCAGAUAAUUUAGCACUAGUCUGGCUGAAAUGGUUUACACGAAUCGCAGUAAGAGAUCGCGAACGAAAAACGAUUCGUUAUAGUAACGAAGGAGCGGUCGUCUGGUGGAACGACGAGAUAGCCCAGUUGGCACGCAGGGCCGUUUGACGGUGACAUAUAGAAGCGUAUGUGCCGUAGGUGUACGCCAACAAAAGCGUGUGGGUUUAUAUAUAGAAAUAGCAGCGUCGGAACAACACCGGAAGCGAAGGAGUUCCGCCCAAGCCUGAAGGGUCACCGCACUUUGAAAAUCGAGAUCCAAGAUUGCGCGUAUUGCGUUCGCUCGCCGGGUUUUUCUUCCGUGUCAUUUCCGUUCGUCGCGCACGAUUCUAAUUUUUCAUUCGGGAAGGACCGCGGUCUCGGGGGAAAAGCGGAAGAGCGAAAAGAAAAGCUUCUGUCAUCGUAUCGUAGUAAAGGCAUCGACGCGUUAAAGAACCGGGCAAGAAAAUUCGUAAAUUCCUUACCGUUUCGAUGCGGUAUGCUGAACGGAAAUGAGAUAGACGUUCCGGUCGGAGUUUGAACGCGUUUAGAGCGCGCGAAGCGUUUCCCUCGUUAACGCGUGCAAACGUUUCCUCGCUAAACUCGCACGAGUUUAUGAAUGAAACCACUACCGAGCGCAGUUUCUACGCGACGCCAGUAGUACUCGCGUUUACUCGCUCGUUCCACGUAGGAAGGAAGUCGCGGGCGAGCUAGUAUUGUCCCUCGCAUCAACGUUGAACCCCAACCGGGACUAGUCAAUUAGCCGGGCAAUAUUUUUCCGGCAGGAUGCUGCAUUCAAGGAAGUGUAACUACGUCUGCAGGCCAUCUAUAGGGUGCUUUUAAUCACGUCGAUGUCUAAUGUAUUAUUCAUCGUUUAAUGAGAUACUUUCGAAUCGCCGCUGCCUUCUGUAACGAGCGUGAAUGCAUGGCAAGAAAAAAAAAAAAAAAAGAAAAAACGCUAGAUCCUUUGUAAUACCUAUUACCAGCAUACAUAGGUGGAUAGUUCGUCUUCUUCCGGCGACGGACCGAGAUACUUAUUUAUUAGGAUUCGGUCGAGACGGAGCGCGUUCCAAGUAACUCGAAACAGUGUCGCGAGGGGCUGUGUCCGAUCGAAUUCUAGGCCGUCGUCGACCGGCGACGCUAUUUCUAAACUCGUUUCUAUUUUCUAUUUGCAUGCGUUACCCUCCUCGCGACAAUUUUAUACGUCUGCGAUAUUUCGAGGAGACGGCUAACCAGCCGGCUACUCAGUAUCCAGAAAAUAUGCCAUCGUCUGCAGCAUCCUGUACCGAUUCGAUCGCCGAUGAGAAAACGAUCGAAGCGAGGGCGGACGCGAGGCGUUUCGGUGCCGAGCAACGUACGGUAAGGCCGAUAUCUAGGAGCGUAAUGGACGGCUCCGUUCGCCACUUUCCGCCACUGGCUGAAACUGUAAUCGUACUCGAUCGAGCAAUUAGUAGUAUGGAGCGGCCAUUAAGCACUGGCAUUCUUCACGUGAACGUCACGCGGCCGCUGCACGCUUGUGUUUGUAACCAUUCUAAUUGUAAUCGCUUCCACCUCUCGCGCGCGCCUAUUGCCUACGAUAGGAAUCGACCGACCGAUCUAUCCACGCUGAGGAAUUCUUCAUUUUCCACGAAUCUUUCCAAGAUCGACGCAUCGAACUGCUAUACGAAAGUACGCGCUUCCUCCAUAAUGCACGAGAUCUUUAUGGUCGGCGUGUAACAUCGAAUUUCGUUGACCCAGCGUCGUACAGUUGCAUUCUUAGACGCGUAAACAAUUGUCGCCCGAGUUUUUCUUUUUCUUUUUCUCGAAAGAGGAUCGAUAGAUCGCGAGGAAAACGCGACACGACGAAUCCAUGGCGCGAACCCUUUGAAAAACGCGAUCAGGGGAGGAAGAUUCGCGCGAGGGAUUUUUCCUAGACGCGUCUCGCAUGCGAAACUUUCGCGGCCUAGAACAACGGAAUAGAGACAAAGUGUAAGAGGAGAAACGAGAGAGUCAGCCAUUUUAUGAAACGGCACAGCUGCCUCGUAUCGUUGCCAUGAGAGCGCGCCACGUUCAAAGCUUUUGGCGAAAACUCAGGCUGCAACUUUGUAGUUGCGCUCUUUUCUCGCGGCUUUUCCUCCUCGUCGUUUUGUCCCUCGAUCCGAUAGAUCCUCCGAUGAAUAGAAACCAAAUGAAAUCGUAGAAAGAAGGAAGAAAGUCGAUAGAAAUUCGAAGGAGAUUCCGCGCGUCGACUCGUGCGUAUCGGUGGUCGCGUCGCGUCGGUUUUGCGCGACAAUUUUUCCGUCGUUCGCGAUUCUCCUUCUCUCCCUCUGUACUCCCUCUCUUCGCACACGAUGUCCGUCUCUUUUUCUCUAAGCUUCCGUUUCGUUUCCCUUUUUUCCCUUUUAUUCUUUUUUCCUUCGAUUCGAAAUAACAGCGAUUUCGAGGGGCGGCUGUCGGGCAAAUCGCGCACGAAUGGUCGUUAGCGACUCUAUCCUAGGAACGAGUUUGGAGCCGGGUAUUCGAUCCACUUACGCUCGAUAAUGCUCCAUCUUUUCACUCCGUAAUUUCCGUGUUUUCCGACCUCGUGGCUUCCCCUUCCUAUCCGGUCGCCGCGCACGCUUCACCGUGUCGCGAAGGUGGCAGAUGGAUAAAAAGAGAAGUCUGUAUAUAUAAGAGUAGUAGAAGGAGGUGGUGGAGGAGGGUAAGGGCGAAACAGAGAGGGAGAUGUCGCGUUACGGGAAUAAGGAAGGAUAAACGAAGCGAGAAAGAGUUGCAGUGAAGAGGGGUGGGAGCGGUUACGGCGGGAUCGGUAGCAGGGGUAGAGGGGAGAAAGAGAGAGAUAGAAGAGGGAAUCCACGAGCGAUCGGUUGCCCUACUCAGUCCUCGUCCGUCUACCAGUCGGUCGUUUACGCUGCGACUUUGACAGUUCGCGACCUUACGUCACUCGAGUUUCACACCGAUCGCGCCUCCGCAGUGUUUUCAGUGUUGCCCUGCACUUUGCUUGAAUCGUGUAUCGCUUCAACUACGCGAUGGUACAUAUUCCUUCGCAUCCUGUUUCCUUUGCUCCGAUUCUCUUUGGUCGACCGAUCGAAGCUACCGAUCGACCGACUCGCAACAAGACGCCGUUUUUCAACGAUAUCACGAACUCGUACGAGUAAAAAGGUACGUUUCAUCGUUUAUCUCGGAGAUGGAUCGUUUUGCGUAUGUACGUCAGUUCCGGUGAACGCGUCAAAUGGUCCGAUGGGGUUCGCUCGACCGAGGAAAAUUCUAUAACGGAGUAAAAACUCGUUGGUUGCCAUACCGCGAGUUAACGAGUUUCGUAAGCUCGUCGCCGCUGCGCGAACGAUCGGUUGCGAAAGGAAACUCCGUUCGCGAUGUCACUUUGCGACAAGUGGAAAAUGGGUGCGAGUUUCACCUUUCCAGCCACGUGCCCGAUGACGUUUCAUCGAAAUCGUUGCGUAUUCCUCCGUGUUUUCGCUCUUUGACCGAUACGAAGAUUCCCCGCUAAUCUCGAGUUUACAUCUAGCAGCCAGUCGGUUUAGUUAUUCCUUUUAUGGAUCAUAGGUACAUGUUACAGCGAUGAUUCAACGUUAUCCGUGGAUAAGACGUCGACGUACGUUGGACAAAAAUUUCUACGGAUCAGCGAUUCCCGGUCGAGCCCGGUGAUUGUCGAUCAUCGAAGGUUAAUCGACAAGACAGCUCGACAUUCGUGUCGACCGUGAAGGAGGAAGGAUGAAAUCGCGGAGGUGAACGCACCCGCACGAAAUUUACGUUAAACUCGUAUGUGCGCACGUGCCCGGCCGUGCACGCGUCUACGUACCGUACUGUACUCACGUACAGAUCGUUUGAUGUUGGCAAAUGGCGCAAGUAAAUCCGCGUAUUAUUAAAUAGAUAACGACCAUAAAUUUGGCCAAGUUACAUAAAGGCGCAAAAGGCGCGCGUUAAGGUCCACCGUUCUAUUUAUGUGUCGGCGACCGGCGUUCUAGGAUCGCGGUUCUCAUUCGCGUUUCUCCGCUACUGGGGAGAAACGAAAGUUUGCCUAGUUUCGAUCAUCGACCGCGGUGUCGAAUCGUUCAUUCCAUAUUCUCGCCUCGUUUUUCUCGAACGCGACAACGAGCUUGAAUUAGCUGCGGAAAAGCAACGAGGAACGAAAGGCGAUAAAACGCGUGGACGAAGCACCACUGGAGAGGAAGUCAUCGAGAACGCUGUCCUUGUUUAUCGUUGCCCGUAUGUCUAUUUGCCUUUUAUCAAUUCUAGGAGCGAUAAUUUCUUUUCUAAAUUGCGAGACCGCGGGGCCACAUGCGUAGACAGACGCGUACGAUGGUUUUGCGCGUUUGCUCGCGGAUACGAGGACGGUAGGUUUUUUCCACGUACUCGACGCAAUCGAUGAAUUCAAUUCCGAACAGUUUGCGCUCGAAUCGUCCGAGUUUCGCGGACGCGCAGUGGAACGGAUCCGCCCGCGAUCAGACGCGUUGCUCCGAUAGAUACAACUCAAACUUCCGCUAGUUUCGUCGUCUCGUCGCGUUGCGUCGUAGAAAUUUUUCUGUGGCGCCUCGACGUAUCAUUGGCUCAAUUCCAACGAACCUACCAGCUUCGUCUAUUUUCGUUGAUUUCGCUCUUUGUGGAAAGACGCGUUCCGCAUUAGCGAUUGGCGUUUGCACUGUCUGUCCCGUUCGUUCGUUCGUUCGCCGAUUCCGUUCGAUCGUUUUCGAUCGAACGUAGAAACGCGGCUGGCUCCGAAACGCGUCGCGUGCAACAGGUAUCCAGCUUGACGUCACGAUUUCAGGACGUCGCGUCGAAGGAAAGGAACGAAGUCGGAGGGAAAAGAGACGAUAGCGGUAGGAGGGGUGGGAGCAACGAUGACUCUGAUAAGUGGUAGUGGAAGUUUCAGUCGGUCGACGACGACGACGGUGACGGCGUCGGUGGGUGACGGCGACGGCGACGGAGGCGGUGGCAGUGGUGCGGCAGCGACGAAAGGGUCGCGGAAUCAUGCAUACAUAUACACGUACGAGGCGGUCGCGCAUGACUUUGGACAUGCACCUCUCUCUCUCUCUCUUUCUCUCCCUCUCCUCCCCCUCUUUUUAUCCUCUCUUUUCGUCUCUGUUCCUCCUGAAGCAUCGUUCGGUCGACAAAGAGAAGAGGAGAAGCACGGUUGUGUCACUCUGUUACGCGACUAUUAUUCAACGCUUACGGAAAUACGCGGUAAAAACGUAGGGAACGUAAAUCCGAACGAACCUUUUUUUCAGCUGGUUCCCUGUGCCAAGGUUUUUCAUUUACUCGAAACAAAGGAAAAGAGAGAAAUAAAGGGGAAACGAAACGAAACGUCGUUGUUCGUUCAACGUGUCUCGCAAUAUCCUGUAAUUCAUCGUGCUCGUUUAGCCAUCGAAAGUUAGCUCCGUUUUUUUCAGACGUCGAAUUCAUCGAGGAGGAUGGCUCUGUUUCGCCGAUGAUCGUUACACGAUCAUCGACUCUGCCAUUCUACUCACGGCGCGUAGAACGAAACGGGGAACAGUAGCUGCCAGGUGUAACGGGGUGUCGGUAGGGAGGACCGCUGCCACUAUGGGAAUUCUAAUUAGAGAUAAUGACGUCAUUAAGGUCUGAGCCACGACGAGACGAGACGGUCUGCUGCGCUUACUGUACAUACUCUCUAUUCCGAGUAGGUAUGUAUCGGUGCUUCGUACGUGCGAAACGCGCUUUGUUCGUGUCUGCGUGUUCUGUCGUGCCGUGCCAUGCCGUGCCGUGCCGAUGUACGCUUCUCUCGUGCGAAUGCACUCUAAACCCUGAAGGAGAAACCGCUCCGUUUCCUAUCGUUCGAUAGAAAAGACGAUUUUCACCCGGACAAACGUCCACGAUAUACAUUUUAUCGAAAUACAUUUCAGCGUUAUUGAAAGGCACGGUAACCAAUCCUCUUCAUUCAUCCGUUUCAACGUUAAAUCUCUUCUUAUCUGCGCGAGAGCUGGCUACACAGCUUUACUUCGGCUUAAUGAAUAAGAAUAUUAACAGUGAUACGGGGCGGUGAUUUAUGUUUAUUUUUUCGGCUCACCGUUAAGUAACGAGUAGUUUCGGUUCAGAGUCCAGCGCGAUAGCGUUUCAGUAGCGAACGAGAAAUCCAUCAGCGCGUGACCAAUCUUUGGAAGCGUUGUCUCGAAUUACGAGUACGCUCGUUACGGGAACACCGAACGCGUUUCCUUCUUCGCUCCGAUUCGAUUCUACAUCGGCGACAGUGACACGAUUCCCGCGCCUCCUCUUCCCGCAUUCCGGCAAGAUCGAACGGCGAUCGAAUAACCGGGGAAACCGCGAGAAAAACGAUCGGACAACGAUUCAUCGUGAUGGCUUUUCACGGAAACGGCGCGCGAUCCGUCGAGUCGAGCUGGCGUUGUUUCUUCGCAAACGUCAUGCAACAACUAUGCGCGAACCACGCUCCGAGACGUACGGUGCUGCUUCAUGGAUCGCGAAACUGCUAGAGCGAAACUUGCGCUUCGUUGCUGUUCUUUCGCGAAAAAUCAUUCUAAUUUUUCCCGAUCGUUUCGCCAAAGAUUAAGGUUCCUCGAAGACAACCGCGGACGGAUCGAAGAGUCGGCGAUCAACCGCCGUUAAAGAAGUCCUUAUACGGCGCAAAUAUCCUCCCGACUCGUCGUCCCGUCGCAUUCCUCGACUUCCUUCCGAAGCGAGCUCUUUCACCGGCAAUCGCAGCGAGUGGUUUACGUUUCUUUCACCGUCGACGCCGUCGUUUGAGAAUCACUGGCAUGCCUAGACGCUGCUACUCCGGCCACCGGCGCGGCGGUACCGUUGUCGUCGCGAUUGGCUCUUUAAACUUUAAAAGCCAACGCGCUGCCCGCGAAACUAUCGACGACCGGACAGGGCUGUCAUCGAUCUACACGAGACCCCCACCAAUUUGAUCGGGCCCCUUUCAAAUUUUAUCCCCUCCGUAUCCUCUCGAAUUAUACGCUCCUCUGAGUAGCGGCGAACGCGAACGUUUUCAGCCAUGUUCGUCGCGAAGCUUCCCCUUUCGCGCCGUUUCGACAGGUCCGGAGGGUCGAAAAUCGCGAAAACUGUCUGUACUCGUUCGCAAGGAGGCGACGCGACGCCUCGCUGCCAUACGGUUAUGCAAAACAAUUAUCGUGGAAUGCGGUCAGCUGUUCCGAGACGCGCGUUGACGUCAUGCGGUUAACGCGUGCGCGAAUUCUUGCGGGUCUCCUACGCACGUGUGUGUCCCGACUAAUCACUACGUGACCCUGCGAAACUGCACCCUCUUUCCUUACGUAUCUUCUUUUUCUUUAUUCUUCAUUUUCUCGCCACCUCUCUGUCGCGCUUCAUCCGAUCCGUAAGGUUAAUUAGAGAAACUCGCAACGUUUCUCGGAUCGCUUCCGUUUUCCGCUUGCGUAACGCUUGCGUAACGCUUGCGUUCGCGAGACACGCCUCGUCCUUGAAAGUUUUACACGUGCCGGAAUUACACCGGCUGUGAACUCGUUAGGUGUAAACAGACGACUAGCAUUCUCGUUUUAUCGCCCGAACCAGAUCGGCGUCGAUCACGUUCGGGGAUCGUUCGGGUACCAGCUGAUUUUCAACGAUAACGGAGCUCGACGAUAAUAGAUCCGUCCUGUCCCGUCGAAACGAUCGCAACCGAUUCGAACGUUUUACCUUUUUGUUGUACUCGAACAGACGAAUCAUUAAUUGUUGCUCAAACAUCCGUAUCGUUCCCUGUACAAAUAUUUUAUCGUCACACAAAGAGCACAGGUAUCCCAGCGGCGCCUGAUGUCUUCCAUCGAGUUUGCCGGAAAGUCCAACGUCGUUUUAAUUCCAUCUAGAACGAAUCGAUUCGCGAAGAAACGUCAACCGUGGGAACGGGCCAUCGCGAAAAACUGGAUUUCGUCGAUCGCAUCGGCGCGGUACGUGUUAAUCUUUCUUUAAGUGGAACACGAAACAGAGCUCGGAACGAAUAUUCGAGGUAAAAAGAAACGACGAAUAGCAAGUAGGUCGUCGAUCGUUUGUCGAUCGUGUCUCGAUAGUAGCAGUACCGAUCGGCGAUGGGUCUUUAAAAAAUUAGCAAGCUUCAGGCUGCGCGCGUGGGUUCGUUCAACUUUGGCUGUCUGAACCGGUCUCGCGCGCGCACGCGGCGAGAAUAUUUCUCCCUCUUCUUCGCUUAACCUUCCUCUUUCUUUAUUCUAGCUCCUCUUCGUAUUCCAUCUCCUUCUAUCCGCACGUAGAGAGAAUGUGCCGUCAAAUGUGACUCACCAUUCCCACCUCCCCCUCCAUUUUUUUUUUCAUUUUUCAUUUUUCUGAUAGUCGUUAUCCACUAUCAGAAAGACCCAGGCCUAUCUUCGUAACACACGGAAAUCCGUGUUGCCGGUGUUCCAUCCUGAAAACACGCUCAACAGUUUUCCAAACGGUGUAACGGAGCGACGAAUCGGUGAAACGAACGGUGGAAAAUUUCCGGAGGAUUGUUAUUACCUUCCGUAACGUAGUCGCGACGGUGGUCGUAACGGUGCGAUAUCGCUUGUGUUGAGAUAGCGAGAGACUGGAAAAUACAGUUCCCACAGGUGGUCGAGCGAGCUUGUCGCAGCAGAAACCGUUUUACGAGCGCCUCUAGCUUUCAUACCGAUUCAUCCACCGAUCGCACAGAUAUUCGGAUCGAUCUUUCUUUCGCGUAUCUAUUAUUUCAUACGCUCUGGCCUGUAAUCGGUUGCCGGGUCAGGCAUCGACAAAGUCCUAUCGCUUGGACCGGCACCAAGUGUCAGGGACGUAUCUAGACGAGGGCGAUGUGUGACGCGCAUGGUACAGCGUGGGAACUCCUUCGAUGCACAGCGGUUCUCAAUUUCGAGACGUCACCGCGAAGGUUUGAUUGAAAAUUCGAGAUAGAUAAUGGCGAGCAACAGGAAAUUCUAAUGGAACAGCGAUUAGAGUAAAGGCGUAUCGACGGAGACAACUCGGUAGAUGACCGGAUGUAGGUACAUCAUUUCAUUCGAAUCGUGCUUUAUUUCGCCGGUUUUCGCCGUGCUUUACGAGCACCUUAGCGGCGCGUUUUACUGCCGGUUCGCUUCACAAUGCGCCAUCACUGGGCGUUUUUACAGACGUCCUUUAUCUAAGCGGUAGUAUCGAACGUGUGGGUAUUUUACAUACGAGUCGUUAUAUAAUGGAGGUUUGCACAGACGACUCUUCUCAAUCGUACAUCCGAUGCAUCGUUUCGCGGUCUCUGUUGGUCCACUUCCGUUUCUCUCUCUCUUCUUUUGUUCACCUUCAACAGCGCAUACCGUAACGAAAGCGCAUAGGUGUACUUACCUAGAUCAACGGUAACGAGCGGAAUUUUCAAUCGAUUUCCUUCGUCAGGUGAAACGUUUUUUUGUAACGACAAAGUAGGCGUGCGGGAACGUUUAUUUAUGCGGUUGCAAGAGCCCCUCGGCGUGUACGCGCGUAUCUCCGCGGACGGUGCGCGUGUCUCUGCGUACCACGUCCUGUGCAUAGAUCGUUCCCUCUUUCUCUUGCCAUUCAGUAAGCCGACAUGAAUGAACCGCAAGCUCUUCGUUCGCUCCGUAGUAAAUACUUUUUCCCACACGUUUGCCGCAACAAUGGCAGCGCCGUUCAACAUUCGGGGGUAAAAAACUCAAACAUCGACCGUUCGUCUCCUCGUCUUUUUCUUCUUUCUUUGUUACGCGCUUCUCUCACGGAAGAGUGAAAAGCAAAAAGUGUGAUAAAUUCGGAAAAAUUUCAAGUGCCGGGAUGAUCUUACUAGUCGCGUUCACGGUUCGGAAAGGGUCAACGAACUCUGGUUUCCUCGAUAGCGUAACAUUCGUGGGUAAAUGCUUGACGAGUGCUCGCUGAAACGUUAACGAGACGCCCAAUCCUCUCUCGUUUAUUGCCAGCCAAGGAUAGUAGACCCGUUAGUUGAACGUGCGAACGUAUCGCUCGACGCGAUAUUCAUUAUUGAUUUUACAAUAUCCUGUAAUUAGUAGCGCGCGGAUAAUCGUACGAUCGCAGGACCGUGAUCGAGAAGGAAACGGGGUAAACGGAAAGAAGUCAGAGGUACAUAGAUAUCUUUUUAUUUCAAUAGUUUUGUAAUUGACAGUUUUAUAAAUUCUUCGCGAACAUAUGUAAGCGCAUGUUACGUUUCCGCUUUAGACGUCACUUCCUCUCUCCUGCUGCGUCCCAGACGAUCCUCGGUGAACUUCUCAGGCUUGGCUGCGCUGCCUGACCGCAGGCAACCUAAUUGUUUCAGGUCUCACCUAGGAGAAACGUUCAUCGAUACGCGUUAUUUUCAUCGUCGAAGCGCGGAUAUCGGCGCGAAACUAGCUGAUAAAAGAUUUGCGUCAUAGCGCCACCUGCGUCGAACACAACCGAACGACCGAUUGCGUAAAUACUAGAGGCGCGCGUGCAAUCGUAGAUUCAUGCUCGCAGAAAAUCAUCGUCGCAAAUUCAAGCGACGAAAAGCAGCACGCGGCCCAACAGGUUUUUGCAAAUUUUUAUCGAUUUCUUUUUAAAGACUACCGUAUCGAUACGAGGGAUUUGCGAAGAUUCGAUGCAUCCUAUCGAAAUCGAUCGGGACGCGGAUCCGCCCACCGUCGUCGCCGAACACGCGUCCGUCGAAACGAGAUUCUCGCAAUUCGAUCGAGCUCGAUUUACAACGCCCUUUUCUAGCCUCGAUAAGCGACUUGGUUCGCCUGGUUGUUCAAAGUAUUUCAUUCGUCUUCCCUUGAUACGCGAUUCAACGUCUUCCUCUGCGAAAUGACGAAUUUCCGUUGGAUCUCUCUCCUCGAGGUCGAAGAACGGCGCUUCCUCUUUUCGUCGUCUUCAUCUCCGUUUCUCCCUUUGCGAUACGUCCGUGUGCGAUACACACACCACUGUACGGAGGGAGGAGAAAAAGCGAAGGUGCGUGUGUGUGCGCGUGAGAAUGAGAGAGAGAGAGAGAGAGAGAGAGAGAGCUGAUUCAGUAAUGAAUGGAUUAAACAGCCUGACGUCACAGGAUGGAUUAUAUAAACGGUGGUGCGCGUGACAUCGGACGUAGGAAGGAAGUUGGCUUCCUUUCGUACCUAGAAGGUAUUCGUCCGUACGUACGUUCGUACAAUACACGCGUGUUACGCAUAGGCGUGCGAGUUUGCAAACGAUUUCGUUGCCGAGGGAUCGUUCAUUUAAAAGCGGACGAGCUUGGUUAGAAUCCCGAUGACGACGACAGGGCCGCCCCUUUUAAAGCUUCCCUUCGCCGAUCUGCCCUCGAAAGUCCCCCUCUACCUAUAGCUGUUUCAUUUUUUUUUUUUUUUUACCUGCGCUUUGAUUGCCAGUACACACGCGGCCUGCAGUCGCAUACGGUGUUUUCGCGCGGUUGCAGAUCGAUCUCGGUGGUUGAAAUUUUCAAGCGUGUCUCGAUGGUGAAUCGUUCGUUUGCAAAUCAUCGCGGUCUACGUAAAUUUCGUGCGCGAUCGAGUGCGCACGUGCCAGAAACAAGCUCGGAAACGGUGCUACCCGUAUCGCACGUCUGCCGGUAUAUAUUUGAAUCGCUCUGCAUCUAGUUGACCGGCGUGCAGUGCGAAAACGGUGGAUCCCGUGGUUGGACGUGAAAGUGGACGCGACCUAGUUCUGCCGUAGAAGCCUCGCGUUCGCGGAAAGAUACGUGCGAGCACGUGUUUACCGGCUUCGAGGGGGACGCGACGAUUCGUUUUUCCGCGAGGUCCACCGUGUCGGUUAUUAACGCGCGUGUAGUCUGGGAGCUGUCUGCGGGUCGACGUCCGACGCGCAGAAAUAGAAGCGCCGCGACGCUCGCUACAUUCCGUCACCUACGAUCGCUUACUGACCAUCCCCGACCAACACCGGACCCCGUGUCGUCGAUGACCGACUCGUGCCCGCGUUUAAAACGGUCACGCGUGCCGUUUUAACUCGCCGAGACGGGAAGGCACCGAUCGUCCACCCUUCUUUUUUUUACGCCAACGAUUCGUACGGUGUGAUCGUUGCGCGUUCACGCGAUUUUUCCACGUCUCCGUUCCCCGAUAUAGAGGAACGCGAUUAUUUCGGGGUUGGUUAACGGUUAUCCUCCUAACUCGAAGGGCAGGUGCGUAGUCCGGUUUGCAAGGGAAAAGGGCAGCUGCUCGUCUUAGACGUUCCGGAAAGGAGGGGAAAGGAAGAAAGGAAGAAGACGAAGAGAGCGUAGAAAGAAGGGAUAGGUGGUUCGCUGGUAAGGUAAACGAUAUAAUGGGGACGUAACAGUGGGUCCUUUUCAGAGGCAGAUGUCCUGCUCGAGACACGUGCCCAUCCCGAGGCCCCCCCCUUUUUUUCAGUCCCUUCGGAUCUCCCCUCCUUUCUUCGUCGGGAUUCAAGCAAAGAGAAGGAACGCGAACGGAAAAGCCCGUACCCGUAAGGCACUCCUGCAGGCUGCGCUCUUGCUCCCCUUUUCUUUUUCUCUUCCUCUUCGUCCUCCACCUCCUCCGCCGCGUCUUCUUUCCUUGUCCCCGUGGAAGCUUCCGUUUUUUCCUUUCCUUCUUUUCUUCGUAAGAGAAGCGAAGCAGGGUCGGAAGGGAAAGACGGGGGCACCAGCUGCUGCUCUCGUUAUAGCGGAUCGCAGCGGGGCAACGAGGACCUCGACGACGAUUGCGUCGACGAUUCGUGCUCCUAGCCCUUCUAUUGUGUUCGCGAAACUCGUCCGACGAGAUCGCGUCGACCUUUCCGUAUUAAAGAACGACACCGCGAUGGGAAUAGGGCUCGCGUUCCGUGCCAAUUCGUUCUUUACAGACGGUAAGGAGAAUUUGCAAGGCCGGUUUCGUUCGUAUCGAGGAUGCUGCAGGAACGUCUUGAAAAUAUCUACGAAAAUCGCGCCUCUCGAUCUGUGCUUGCUGUCACGCGGACGUUCCUUGCCUGUGAGAGCCGCUGCACGCCGUGCGACUUUUUCACUCGCUUUGGUCCCACGCUUAGGCUACGUACGCGCCUCUACAUCCUAUGCACACAAAUGUACAUCGCUCGUGCAAACCGAGCGGUGCCCGUCCACGUAGAAAUGCAUACACCUGCGAUAGAUCACCUUUAUCCCCGCGACGCGACGGACGAUCGGCAACGUCGUCUCGUAAAAACGAAACGCCGUUUGCGCCAUUACUGUUCGACGAAUCCGUGCCAAGGUCUCGCUUUCCGUUUUAUUCUCGGAUCUGAUCGCUUCGUUGCCUUCCUACUCUUGUCGACGACUUUUUCCGUAUUUCCGCGAGUUUGCACGCGUUUCGUUGCCGAUCGAAUCGAACGUAGCUGCCGAGCGUACUACCAUCGCGAAUCGAGACAGACCGUUCUCUGUUCGGUACGGUUUCCAUGAACCAUUCGUCUUGUUCCGCUUCGCACAGUUCUAUUAUUGGACAGGCUAGGAAGUAUUCGUCGUUGGUCGAGUAGCUCGAUCGUCUCGGUCGACUCCCGGGGAAAAUGCAGGUGGAAUUUCAAGCUAAGAAUUCUUUGAAAACCCUAUCCAGCCUCUAGCCUCGGCGAUAAACGAUCCGAGACGAUCAGUGAUUCAAGGUGACACCGGAUAAAUCGUGGUAGGAACGAAAACGAAACGAGAAAAUAUCAGCAAGCGUGCAUCAAUCGCAGCUAAUCCAUUAUGAAGCGGCUCCUCUGUAUAUCGUAACGCGUGCAGAUUGACAAUGACAUAACGCACACCACGCUAGCGAUUCUCCAUUAUUCAUCGGGAUUAUCGAUGAAUUAUCAUAAUAUAAUGGCGACGGCGUCGGUAUUCGUAACCUUGAAACGAUGACUCCUCGUUACGUUGCCUUGAACGGCGGAAACAUGGGAUAUUUGUUGAAUCGUCGGCGGCUCGAUUCGCCUAGAUUCCACCGCGGAGAUUGCCGAUCCAUUCGUGCGCACACUUUCCUGAUUGAACGGUGUUGCGAACGAGGACCGAUCGAUUCGUCUCGAAACGAGGAGAAUCGAACGGGAAUCAUUUCUCGAGCGAUCGUGAUAGAAUUUAUUAUUCGCUAGUGGCACGGUGAGUACCUGUUGGUAUUGAAAUUUUUCUUCGACACCGUUCGACGAGACUUCCAAUUUUAUUCGGCUUCGAAUGCAGGAAAAGAAAAGAUCGGCUGGACGAUCGGUACGGUUGGAGUCGCGAGGCUGACGACGGUGCGCGUGGAUACUAGUAGUAGGUCGGUGUAGUUGUUCGGCCGUCUCCCACGGCAGGGCCGCACGUCGACCGCAUUCCACUUGCAGACCCUUUCCACCGAUGCCGUUCCCGCUACCACCGCCGCAGCCACUGUCGGGUGAUCGACCCUAAUCGCCAAAUUCGAUCUCGAAUUAUCCACCGUCGCGCCGCCGCUUUCACGCCCGAGUUUCGCGCGUUCCCGUCGAGAAAAAGAAACCCGUCCGUUCGCCCGUCCUUUUCAGUCACCGUGUUAACGAGCAUUUACGGUGAUAACGACGUUGCUAUUAUUAGGUGUGUCGAAGACGGCCCAGAGCAGGGGUAAGAGGUGGUGAAGUCGGUAGGUGGAAGAGGAUGGCGAUUCGGUGAGCACCGGGGUCAGUUGUUUAGAGCUACCAAAGAAAAGAGCAGAAAUAAGAAGAGAAAAGAAGGAGAAGGUGGAGGUGGCUGAUCAGGAGGCGAGGAGGCAAGAGUAAAGUCGGAGACUGGACUCGUAUCUGCAUUCCAUUCCCACUGGCCGCGUAGGUCCUUGUAUAGGUGGUCGUCCUCCUCCUCUUCCACCUCAUCCUCCUUCUUUCCUUCUACUUCUACUCUUUCUCCUUCUUCAGCACACUCAUCGUUCUCUCUUCGUUCCAUCGUUUAUUCGUCCGUCCGUUAGUCCGAUCGUGUCGAGUCUUACGCGAUGAAAAUCUUUCGUCUUUCCCGAUUUUCAUUCGCUCCUCCACUGAUCUUCAAUCCCGUCAUUUUCCUUAAUUUCACCACCUUCUGACCGGUCGAUUUUAUAAAUCUCCAAGGAUGUUCCCCAUCCGUAGGGAUGAAAUUAGCCGCCCGCAGAUAGAGUUGCCCUUUUUUUUAAAGUAUUUUAUUCAAAAAAUGGCGCCUAUUCGAUUUCUCGAUUUCUCCUCUUGGACCGUUGCUCUCGAUUUUGUCUUCUUAACUUCGUCGCGUUCUUCUUCUCUCUUCGUUGCUGUUCGGUUGCCAACCGGAUCACCGUCUCGCGAGAACUGCCGUCGAAGAUCCUCGAACCGAGCGUGAAGCACGCUUUUCGUUCAACUUCGCUCCUGGUGAUCAUUCGCAGGAUUUCGACGACACGCAAAAGGUUAGAAAUGUCGCGUAGUAAACGACCCACGAUGCGGGACAAAUAUAAACCCGCCGCGUUAUUCCAGAGCUGUGAUCUUCUUAAUUAGAGCAAUUAGACGAUCCGAGAAUAGAAAGAUGACGCAGAGUCGCGCGGACCAUACGUUCAUCUCUCAGCUGAGUUCAUCUGUACGCGAGUUUUUCCAUCGUCUUUCGUUAACCCUUUCUCGCGAAUAUCGAACGAGCGGCAAAGUUGAAAGCGGGCAAGAUGAGCACGGGAAAGUAAGACGGUAUUCGUGCACGCGCAACUUUUACACCAGAAGAACUCGAGCCUACGUUGAAUUAACGAUGCUGUAGCGUUAGAGCGACAGUUUAACCAGCGUCGAAAGCAAGGACGUGUCGCGAAUUUGUUCGUACAAGUGUCCGGGGCAAACGAUCUCCGUAGAUCCGGCUGGAAGGCCGGCGUCCUAUUUUCGCUAGGCCCGCGACCGGUCAACCAGCUGCAAGAAAGAAUAGAAAGAAUCUCUUGCUGCCGUGACACUUUUCAAAAGUUGCGGUUCUUUCGACUUGUAACGCGUAUUAUUCAUGUCGCGCCGCGACUUCUCUCCUUCUCUACGUCUGCCGGUCUCGUAAUAUUUCUCUCGGCUCUUUCUACCCGUCUUGCUCGGUACCCCGUGCCUUCACCGUACGCUCUCUCGCUCGCUCAAUUACUCACUCGGCCGGUAUGUCGAGGGAGAGAAGCGAAUUCCAAGAGUGGCAGCCUUGUCAAGGUGUUUCUCGCGAUUGGUCUUGCAUGGAAAUCCGUCUUUUCUGCCGCUACCAUUACGCGCGAUAGGAUACGCGACUGUCCGAAAGCGGAUAGAAGCUCGUCUCUGGUGACGUCGAACGAUCGAGCCAGUCCCACGCGUGAUCUUUCGUUGAAAUUAUAUAACACACUCGUGUUCCAUCAUUUUCUAUCGCAACCUCGUUUCCUUCUCAUUUUCAUAUUCCGCGGUUACGAUUCGCGCUUGCAAGACCAGAGUCGGAAUUUAAAAAACCCGAGCGCGUUCGCGCCUCGAUUCUAGCCACGCGCCUCGCGAUUCUCGCGAAGAAGGUCAAAAAUAAUAUCGUGAAUCACGUGUAAGUCUGUAAGUCCCCGAACACUUUUGCACGAUUCGCGAGUCGUGCCGAUUCCAGGCGACGCGUCGUGCUUCUGAAAACGAUUUCUCCAUGCGUGUACACAGAUUAGGCGCGUUACUCGCCGAGCGUGUAGGUGUCGGAGCGUGUGCAUGCGUGCGUGCGUGCAUGUGCCACGAUCCACAUCCUUGCACGAAAUUCUCUGGAGGGGUCUGUCACGAGUACAAAUAGCUGACCUCGCUUCGUCGCCUCUAUCAAUGGCUCGGCGCUGGUCUGAAUGACUUUUACGCCUCUUCCUCUUACUACGCUCUGCUGCGAGAUAGCCUUCGCUCGCUUUCUUCCACAGCACGGAUUCUUCUUUUUUUUUAAUCGUUUCAGCGCUUGCGAAACACCAGUUUCCUUUGAUUUUCAACGUCCAGGCUUGUCCGAUUGGUAGGCCAUUUUCUAUUCGACUGAAAACUGAACUUUCCUCUGAGAUAUAAAGUAUAUUUGAAGAAACAAAGAUGAAUGCGAGGCGAGAAAUAAACGCUGGCGAUCUUAUCGUAUUUUGAUUCACUGUGAAAAGUGUUUUUUAAAAGUUUGCGCUUUGAAUGCAACCCGCUGUACUCGGAACCAGUUAUCUCCUCUAGCUUUUCGACAGUCGGUAAAGAAAAUUGCGAUAUUGCGCGGGCAUGAUAACGCAGCAGACGUUGGUACGUUACCGACUGUGGUCGAUAGCACCAGUUUACCAGCGGUCGAUAAAGUUACGACUAUGAGUGUCGAUAAAUCAUCACUCUAUAUUAUCGAUCGAUUUCGCGGUUCGACGCGUUCGAAUUCAAAAAGAUUUCCGCCUUUGCGGAAAUAAGUAUGUACUCAACAUUCAGGGGAAUUGAAAUUGUCUAAUUAAAUUCUUUUAUCAUUUUUCGUAAGACCUUCGCCUUCUCAGUGUUGUCGCUAAAUACGAACGUCGUUACGACGUUCCGCUAAUCCUCCCUCGUUAAUUUUUACGACGAUCCAAACAAGAAGAAGCGAGCGUUAAUUAGAUAACGCUAGCGACUCGAUUCUCGGAAGGAUUGAACGCGCGGCGUAAUCGCCGCCGGCCAAUUCAUUUGAUGGUUCGUGUCGUUACGAUAUCGAGCAUCUCGCAUAUCUUUUUUUUUUCUUUUUUUUUUUUUAAUUUCGUUUCUUCUCGACCCGCGCGACUUAUGGAGCGGACCGAGACAGUGGCGGCUGUUGAAGCGUGGUCCGAGGAUGCGCGAAUUUUUCUUGUCAAGGAUUUCUGUCGUGCCACGACGACGCUCGACGUCGUCAAACUCGAGCGGCAACGCUUGUAGGUUCUUCUCCGCUUCCAUGGAAUCGCUACGGGGUCGUAGGGUCGGCCGGUCGUAUCUUUAUCAGGGCUUCGCGUAACCGUCAGCGCGUUAUCGACCGUCCGAUAGCGCACGUGCAAAAUAAUAUACGUCAACGGAUCCUCACGUUCGGAUAUUAGCAUUCGGACUAGCGAAAAUACCGUACUCGACCCGUGAUUCUUGUCCACGGACUCGUGAUUUCUCCGUGGCCUCGUUAUUAAUGGACCGCGCUAUCGCGUUCUUCGACAAUGAAAACGGUAUCGGAAUGAAAAAUAAGGGGCAUUCUUUAAUUAGCAUAGCCGAAGGAAUGCAAUUACGAAAUCCUCGACCGAUCGAAAAUCGAUGUCAACAGCGAUAUCGAUUCAUCGAUAACUGCGUUUCGGUUUUCCAAUUCGUACUAAACGCGUUCUCCCUUACAGUUGAGCGAUCUCCGAAAUCCUGGCAGAGGCGUGCUCGUUUAUUUUUGGAUGUUUGCGAGCAACAGAGGCCCCUUAACUCGUCGCGAUCCAAUUCUCUUCGAUCCGUUCGCCCCCGUGCUCGAGAUUCGCGAUCGAGUGGAUCACGAGGAUGCCAGCACACGUAUUCGCGUCGAACGUCUUUGUUCCCGUCGCCAUUUUCCAGCCACCGCUUCGCCGUAAGCAUCGUCUCGCAGGUUUCAUCGAGGUGAAUCGAUCGCAGCUACCUGCUGUAACAGGUAACUGAGACGAAACUGGUUUUCACAAUGAUUUGACAGAUUGAUUUGAUUCUGAGAUCAUUGUGAAAGCUGAUUUUGUUUAGAGAUCAUCGGGGACAGCCGUGGCAGAAGAAGAGGACGAGGAAUGCUGGAAAGGAGGAUCGUGAAACGCGACGAGGCUCGCGAUUUCCCGUUCACCGUCCCGGUAUAAUUGUUGACGGAUAAAUAAAUGGAGCGCACAAAGAGGCCUCUGUGUCGUUGGCAGUGCGUGCUCCACGGCGCGGCGCGCGCCUCGAAAUUUAUGAUUCGGCGAGAGAAGGAAGGAAGGACGGAACGGAGAUGAAACUGGAAGACGAGUCCCAGCUAAAUUCAUCGAUCGUUUCGAACGAUACCGCCGAGGCGUACUCCGCUCCGUGGUCUCGCGAUUAUGCAACAAUGCCGUACAAUCCCGUGCAUUGUCGAGGAAAACGUGGAAAAAUCAGCGGGCGUUCGCGAGCGGUCAGCUACGUUCGACUCUCUUUCCUCCCUCGGCCCUUCGUUCAGAAAACAGACGGACGCUGGUCGCGUUGCGCCCGCCAAUUAAGCAUCUAGAGCGCGAACGAGCGAUACGGUUUUUGUCGGAAUUUCCGGUAACGAUUUAUCAAACGGGAAAGAUGGUAUCGUGGACGAAGGAGAGCCGCGGCAAGAAACGACUUCUCGUAGAGGAGCUGAAGCGAACGAAACACGGGAAAGGGGGGAGAUGAAACAGGGGAAGAAGUCGAAGAAGAAGAGGAAGAAAAGAUGGCUCGCGAGCCUCGUCGAAGAGGAUCUCGCGCGAAGCCAGAACGCGCAGCUAUGCACGCUCGAGCGCUAUCAAGUGUCAAACGAACCGAACGUAAGAAAAACCAAACGGAGCAACGAAACUUUGAGAGAACGCAGCCGGACGAAAGGGAGAAACUUUAGACGGUAUCCGUAACCGCCUACGCGACGCUCCAACGACCCCUCGCCCGAGGAAUACGGCCACUCUUGACCCUCUCCACGUUGACUCCAACCACCCGAGGCUAGUACCUUUUCUUAUUCUCUCCGCUAGAAAUCGGGUUUACUCUCGGAACCGAGCGUUUUCCACGAAACCUCUUGGUAAUCGUUUAUUUUCCCCUUAGAGAUCUGCCACUCGAGAGCGUUCGCUCGAGAUCCUUUUCGAGGAAGAUCCGUCGAUCGAGAUCCAUCGCAGCUCUGACAGUUGAACAGUUGCCACGAUAGAAGAGGAAGAACUUGUAAAAAUCUGUUAGCAAAUUGGUAAGAACAUGGAUGGCACCCUAGUCUCGAGUUUCUCGUUCAUCUUUUCGAUGCCAGACCGGGCUCCGCGUUAUUUUGACAGGAGCAAAGUGAAAUUUAUCGAGGAAGGCCCUACUCGGCCAGCUGCUCCCUGGCGACGGUAUUUUCAGCUAUUAGACGAAACAAGUCGUUCGUGUUUUACGAUCGAUCUCGGUGACCCGCAACGCGUGCCUCCUACGAUCCACGCGCAACCAUAAAUCUCAAACUCGCCUGGUUUUCCUUCACCUCGUUCGAUUUCCUCUCGUCUCCCGUUUCAUCGAGAAAGGGAAACCUUUUCCUUUCACGGAAAAAUUAUCGAACAUCGUAAAACGAACGGUCCCGUAGGAGAACGUAAACAAUUAAAAGGCGCCAGAAACGGAGCGCUUCAGGUCGAAUCGUGUUUCUCUCUGGUUAUCGGCUCGAAACGUUCGUAAGCUUUUACGGGCGAGGACUGUAAGAGGUCUCGUAAAAACGUCCGACCGCGAUUUUCUGGGAAACUCGUAAAUUUAAACGCUCUUGUAACUUUUCCUCGCCCACUCGACCCUUUGACUCGCGCGUGGACAGAUUUUCACGGUCGUGUGAAGGGUCGAUUUUCUGAAAUUACCUCGGUGCGCAGUUCGAGAAAAGUUUCCUGGACGCUGUUGGAUGUUCUCCAAAGAAGCAAGGAGAGAAAAAAAGGUUUGUUUGAUAGGGUGGGCGAUGCACGUGCGUAACGCGCGGAUCGCGGCACACGCUCCGGCCUCGGGUCGGUCUCGUUCUUUCGUGGCGCGGAUGUGCGCACCAUCGCACACGCGAUUCGCUCAACUUGUCCGAGAACUCUCUCUUUCUCUACCCUUAACCCUUUCCAUCGUCCCGCGAGCCGCGAGCCAACGGGCCGUGCUUUUAUCGGGCCCGAAUCGCCGCUAGCCACAUGUGUAUCCGAGUAAAAAGUCCCGGCCUACGCUCCUCUCUGCUUCUUUCUGCUCCAUCUUUCUUCGCUCUUCUUCUCUUCCUGUACUCUCGUGGCCGAGGCGAUCGCGGGUGGUCAGCCUUCGAGCGAGCGUAGCUGCAACGAAUCGAUUCGAUCGAAUCGACGACCGAUAGUCGCUGCUUUUCACGAGAUUUUCCAACGUUUUCUCGAUGAACUCCAUGCAAUCGCAACCAGUCGAUCUCCGUUGGUUCGUUCGAAGAGAGAUGUGACAGCCGGUGCGUACCAAUUGUGUUGCUGGUUCGACUCAUAUCUUCUACAGUUGCUAAUUACAAUAAUAACCGAGGACGUUGUAAUCGGAUUCGCAAUUAGUCUCAGUCGGCAAUGGUCGAGCAGAGGGAUCGAGCAACGGUUUAUCGUGUUACACGGUUAUCGUGACGAUUUUUCAUUCGACGGCUAUCGAUAGAAACGGCAAGUACCGAGGUCGGUGCAAUCCUUCCGCUCGUAAUCAUUAAAGAAGCAUGUUUGUUCGUCGUUUUUCGUGAAACGAACCUGCGAAACGUAGGGAACCGAUUCGUUUUUCACCGAACAAAUAUGUUAUCUCUCAUUGUCCUUGAGAGAAACUAACGUCAGAAUAGGCCGAGACGUUUCAACUUGAGCCGUACGAUUCAUUUUCUCGCGUUUCGUGCGCCAGACACGACGGUAUCUUAAUCGUUGUUCGAUAACGAGGGGUUAUUCCCAGUUGGUGAACCACGCAGCUCGAGAGUCUCACGCGUGAAGAGUGCUCGACAGAUCGCAGAACCCCUUCUUCUCCUGUCCUUCUUCACCGAGUUACGCGAUACCCGUCGAUCCUUCGUCACCGGCUAACGGAUUAUACUCCUCGACGUAAGAAAAAACGAGAUACCAAAAUCCUGACCGUGUGCCUGAUCUCUCGCACCAUCUAAACAACCCCUUCUGCUCUCUUCUCACCCCCUAUCGUAGAGCGGUAAUCGCUCCACUGACCAUGAUCUCGAUUUUUCUUACAAAUCGAACACCUCCCGGCAACGGGUUAACUUGGUGAAAAGCUCGACUAAUUAUAGCGCAACGUCGGGGGGCCAAGCUCGCUUCGCGGAGCUAUUAUCGCCUGGCUCAUAAAGGGUUAUUGCGUUUAGCAAAUCGGCGCCCAUUGCAAGAAAAGAAGAUCGAAGACCUUGGCAAAAGGUAGAGGGAAAGAGCGAGAAAGAGCGUUCCUUGAGACGGCGUCUCGCGACCUAUCUACCAUCGCCGUUGGACGGACGGCUACAAAUUCAAGACGAAAAGCGAACAAAUAGAAGGAUUCUUUCCGAGAAGUUACCCACUACCCCCGUAUCGCGAAUCACUCUCCGCCAAAUGCCAAUUAUCUUUAUUCUUCGCUCAGGCAAUUAACAGGCAUCGGGGAAACGUAUCGUCCAGCUGCUACCAGUGACUAUAGAUACAAAAAGACUGGACAUACCUUUGGGGUUCCAGACACCCCGAGAGGAGAUUAGGUCUGCAUGCAGAGAGCCAAUUUUCACUCUCUCUGAUUUUAUUCUUUUUUGUCAAGAAUCAGUCAAAAGCAGCACAAGACUAAGCAAUUAUUAUUAUAAUUGUUUGACAAACUUGUAUUCACUUCAUGCGCCUUAGUAAAUAAAUCAGUUUAAAAAAGCAACUGAGCUAUUAUUUAAUUUACCCAAUUUUAUUUUCGAGUAAUAUAUUUAAUGUAAUUUUUUUUCACAAUUAGUUACUUAUUUCACUUAAAUUCUUAACUCCUUUUCUCAAUUAUUUAUAUAUGUAUACAACAUUCAAUAACUGAUUGAUCUUUAAUAAAUCAUAAAUAUAUAAUUUAUAAUAUAAAUAAGUAUACAUGAAAAUCAAACUUAAAACACAGUAAUUAAAGACCUAGAACGCGGUGCGACCUCCUCAGUCCUAUAACGACAGCCGAGGGAUGCGGAUCAACUUGUCAGCUCAUCAAAGGGUUGUAGGGAUACAAGGGAUGCAGAGAUGUAACGGAUGCUGGAAUGUAAGGAAUGCAGGAGUAUAAGGGUGGCAGAGAUGUGAAGGAUGCAGGGAUAUAAAGAAAGCAGGGAUGUAACAGAUGCUGGAAUGUAAGGAAUGCAGGAGUAUAAGGGUGGCAGAGUUGUAAAGGAUGCAGGGGUAUAAAGGGUGCAGGGAUAUAAAGAAAGCAGGGAUAUAAAGGAUGUCGUAAUGUAAGGGGGCAAAGAUGUAAAGGAAUCAGGGAUGUAAAGGAUGCACACAGGUGUCGGCCUUUCCUCGGGCCGCGUACAAGGACGUCUGGAGCCCUCACUUCCGACGCCAGUGGCCCUGACAGCCCUACAGGUUUUGGUGGUGAAGCCGUCAUAUGCAGUGUUGAGAAAAGGGCUGGAUCAAACUCCCCUUGCUGUUCCUCUUGCUGCUGCAAUAUGACAAGACUGAGUGAGCUUCAGACACUGACUGACAAUGAAUAAUGGGGUAUAGUCUUUGAUAUCGAAGCAAUCUGCUAUUACCAUCAACGUGCGUUAGACUGUUGCAGUGCGAAGUAUUUCACAUUUUUAUAUUAGGAUAGAACAGAUGGCGUUCGUUCUCAAGGGAGAAAUUCAAAAUACCUUGAAAAUAAAGGCAUGUCUAAUUUUGUUGGAUUUGUAGUUACUGCCUUUGCGCUUGGAAAACUUGAUCGAAUUUUUGCCAGAUAGGAAUGGAAAUCACUGAUCUAGCGGAUGUCUUAAAAUCGCGGUAAUAGUCAGUUUUAAUUUUUACAAUUUUUCUGUAGAAAGGAACCAAAUUUGAGGCUCUCUAUAUUUAUCGUUAUCGGGAUGUAUCGUGCAACCACGUGUAAAUCAUUUUAGUUUUAAUUACAGAUCUGUGAGAAAUGGUACUCUAUGGAAGAGAGGAGAAAAGUCCGGGCGGAAGAAAAGUCCGAGUUUAUCAAGUGAAAGCCGAUCAUUUUAGCUGUCAGUCUUUUUCCGACGUUCGGAGCGAGAGGAUCUGAGACUUCAUUCUUAUCAUCAUGACAUUUCCUUCAUUUAUCUCUGCAACUUGCAGCGAAUAACUUACCGAUUCACUAGCCGUAAAAAGUGUGACCAUCUAUGAACAGACGGAAGAACUUGAUGGACACCGCUUUUUCAAAUGAUUACAAGAAAUUUUCUUAAUUAAAUAGUUUACUGCGUUUUUCAUUAAAUAAUAAUAGAUGAGAUCGUGAUAAAACAAUUUAAUAUCAGCGAUCUAAUACCGAAUUGCCACGCUACCUAUUUAUGAUAAAUCUUCCGUCAACCCUCGGUCGAUAACUAGUUACCAUCAUUGAAGAAAAUGGCGUCAGCAUACAGACGUCGUUACUCAUAAUUUAUUAAGCACUAGUAGUAAUCUACUGCUUAAUAAAUCUUAUCAAACAUUAUAAAGGAAUGUAAUUUGAACUUUCCUCUUUGUGUUUCAAUCAUAAAUUAUUGUGAAUUAUUACAACGUACGAUAGAAUCAAUGAAAUACCAACGGGUGUUCAAUGCAGAGUGUGCAACUACCACAAUAAUUGCUAAUAACUAAGUGAUUAUAAAUGAAAUCUGCGCAAACGUGGUAUUAGAAAACUCUGCAGACAUUAUUUUUCGAGAAUUAAUCGUGAAAGUUCACGUUUCAUUGCUGAUAAAUGCAUAAUUGAUGGUUUACUCUUUACUAUAUGCGUUUCUCAUUUCUGGCGAGCGGAGGUAUUAGGAGUACAUAACUAAAAUUGGUGGCAAAAAUUGUGCCACUUUCUUGGCUAUCCUAUUAUCCUGCUACCAGGCGAGCAAUUUCAGCAAAUGUUAUCCUAAAUGUUGACCGAUAGAAAAUGGAAGUCCCUUAUAAUGUAAUUAUUUUACGACGUUGUAAAAACAUAACAAUAAAAAAUCAAAAUUGCAAUACAUCUGCGUUGUCAAUGUAUAUAAUUUAAGUAUGUAUAGAUUACCUGAACUUUAUACUACUAUCUACAAUUAUGAAAGUCAAUCGAUUGUACUAAAUUAUUGUAAAAUGAAUAAAUAAAGUUCUUUGAAUAGUACAACAGAGUGUUGAAAUUCUUUGCCACGAAAAGUAAUAAUUGUUUAAUAUUAAGAGAACGAAUGUUUAUAACAUUCAUAUUAAACAAUUAUAGGAACCCUAUUCUUUAUAUUGCAGCCUUAAAAGUUAAGAAAAUAAUUUGCAAACUUGAGAAAUUAAUAAAAGAUUGGGAAUACGCAGUUCCCGUAUGUAUA
Molecule: non-coding RNA, 25704 nt
Organism: Osmia lignaria (orchard mason bee)
Lineage: Eukaryota; Metazoa; Arthropoda; Insecta; Hymenoptera; Megachilidae
Source: RefSeq, a predicted model, not a curated record